CACUAAACUAAAACAUUUAACCUAAUAUAGUAUAGGAGAUAGAAACAUUUCAAUGAAGCUAUAGAGAAAGUACCGUAAGGGAAAGAUGCAAGAACAAAACUAAAAGUACAAAAAAGCAAAGAUUAAACCUUGUACCUUUUGCAUAAUGAACUAGCAAGAACAAACUUAACAAAAAGAAUAUUUAAGCUAAAAACCCCGAAACCAAACGAGCUACCUAUGAACAAUUUAUUGAAUGAACUCAUCUAUGUAGCAAAAUAGUGAGAAGAUUUGUAGGUAGAGGUGAAAAGCCUAACGAGCUUGGUGAUAGCUGGUUGUCCAGAAUAGAAUUUCAGUUCAACUUUAAAUUUAUUUACAGAACUAAUAAUCCCAACAUAAAUUUAAAAGCUAAUCUAAAGAGGGACAGCUCUUUAGAAACAGGAAAAAUCCUUAACUAGAGAAUAAAUAACAAAACUUACAUAGUUGGCCUAAAAGCAGCCACCAAUUAAGAAAGCGUUAAAGCUCAAAAUUUUAUACAUAAACUAAUUCCACAACACUAAAAUCAAUUCCUAAUAACAAUACUGGACCAAUCUAAAACUACUUAGAUAAAAUAAUGCUAAUAUGAGUAACAAGAAUAAAUUCUCCUCGCAUAAGUGUAUAACAGACCGAAUAAAUCACUGUUAAUUAACGUAUUAAUAGUUAUAUAUACAAAUAAACCAACACUAUUUAACCUCAACGUUAAUCCAACACAGGAAUGCUCUUAGGAAAGAUUAAAACAAGUAAAAGGAACUCGGCAAACUCUAACCCCGCCUGUUUACCAAAAACAUCACCUCUAGCAUAACAAGUAUUAGAGGCAAUGCCUGCCCAGUGAUAUAAAUUAAACGGCCGCGGUAUCCUGACCGUGCAAAGGUAGCAUAAUCACUUGUUCCUUAAUUAGGGACUGGAAUGAAUGGCUUCACGAGGGUUUAACUGUCUCUUACUUUUAAUCAGUGAAAUUGACCUUCCCGUGAAGAGGCGGGAAUUACAUAAUAAGACGAGAAGACCCUAUGGAGCUUUAAUUAACUUAUUUACUCAAGUAACCCACUACACUUCUAUAGAAAUUAACCCUUACUUUACUAAAUAAGCAAUUUUGGUUGGGGUGACCUCGGAGCAUAAAAGAACCUCCGAAAAAUUAAAUCCAAGACUAACAAGCCUAAGAUGAAAAUUUAAUUGACCCAAUAACAAUUGAUCAACGAACCAAGUUACCCUAGGGAUAACAGCGCUAUCCUAUUUUAGAGUUCAUAUCGACAAUAGGGUUUACGACCUCGAUGUUGGAUCAGGACAUCCCAACGGUGCAGCAGCUGUUAAAGGUUCGUUUGUUCAACGAUUAAAGUCCUACGUGAUCUGAGUUCAGACCGGAGUAAUCCAGGUCGGUUUCUAUCUAUUAUUAAUUUCUCCCAGUACGAAAGGACAAGAGAAAUAGAGCCUACUAACCAAUAGCGCUCUUUCGCCAACAGAUGACUAAAUCUU
RNAcentral lists this ribosomal RNA (1485 nucleotides) under Typhlomys cinereus (Soft-furred tree mouse). Its description in RNAcentral is "16S ribosomal RNA". It matches the Rfam family "Bacterial large subunit ribosomal RNA", at positions 186 to 2783 of the family's 2925-position model. The record is from RNAcentral. Lineage: Eukaryota; Metazoa; Chordata; Mammalia; Rodentia; Platacanthomyidae.